Molecule: ribosomal RNA, 181 nt
Filed under: uncultured bacterium
Lineage: Bacteria
Description: partial 16S ribosomal RNA
Rfam family: Bacterial small subunit ribosomal RNA
Source: RNAcentral
CAUGAAGUCGGAAUUGCUAGUAAUGGCAGGUCAGCAUACUGCCGUGAAUACGUUCCCGGGCCUUGUACACACCGCCCGUCACACCAUGAGAGUUGGAGAUACCCGAAGCCUAUGAGCUAACUUUUAGAGGCAGUAGUCGAAGGUAGAAUCAAUGAUUGGGGUGAAGUCGUAACAAGGUAUC